AUUGCACUUCAGCUGCUCGGCAUUUCUCCCCACAGUCCACUCCCCUAGUCCCCACUGCCCAGACCCAGUUCCCAAAUUCAGAUUGCCCAAUAUACAAAAACCCAAGCUUCUCUUCAUCGUUCUCUCACUCUCCUUUUGUGCCAUCGCAGUCCUUAGCUAUCGUCAGUUGCAGUUUCAUCAUUAAGGGGUUUAAAUGGCUGGAAGGUGUUUGAGAAAAGACUCAAGUGAACCACAUGUACUGCAUAUUGGAAUGAUGGAAUGAUGAUGGGAGACAAAAAUGACUACAUAUAAAGUAGGUAGGUAGGUUUCAUUCCCUUUAUCAUAUGUCAUGACAUUUUGCAUAUUAUAUAAGAAAUUGUGGAUCCAUAAAUUAUUUGAUAUUCCAUCAAAUUAAUGCGGUUCAGACACUUUUAAUCAUUAAGGUUUCUCUUAUCGUCAUGUUCUAAAUGUAAUGACUUUUGAUCAAUCUGAUGUAUUAAAUUAUAAUGCUUGUAAAUUGUAAAGUCCUAUUGUGACAUUACCCCCAAUAAAUAAUAGCAUGAACUUACUAUUUUUCUUUUAAAUUCGAAGCAAAAAGACAUUGAAAUGUCAAAAAUUAAGUUGGCUUGUGUCACCUUGUACCCUAAUUAGAAAUAUGAGGUGUAUGUUGUUUUCUUUAGAAAUAAUCUGGGUACAUACCACUUGUCUUCCCAUUUAGGCUUGUAUGUAUAUUAUAUUUUUAUGGUGGCCAUAAUAUAAUCAAGAAGUAAUCAUAUAGAAUAUAAUUAUUGUUUCUUAAUUAUCUUGACAUGAUGGAGACAAAACAUCACAAAUAAGAGAGGACACAUAAUUUAAUUAUUAUUCUUUUAAUCAAGCUAUAAAUGAUUGCAUAUUGAAAACAAGAAAUCAUGGAGUAGUACUGCUAUAGGGAGUUUCUAAAUUUUAAGUCGGAGUUAGAACUGUAUUUGUUGGAGAGCAUUGAGAUUCCAACAGGGAGUUUCUAAAUUUUAAGUCAAAAGUUAGAACGGUAUUUGUUGGAGAGCAUUGAGAUUCCUACAGGGAGUUUCGAAAUUUAAAUUUGGUAAAAAGUCAACUCCACCAAGUAUCCAAUCAUUGCUCUAAUGGCAAAAAAUAUCUUAGCCAUUCCGAUCACCACCGUUGCAUCUGAGUCAGCAUUUAGCACAAGAGGCUGUGUCCUGGAUCCGUUUAGGAGUUCUUUGGCUCCUAGAACUGUAGAGGCUCUUGUAUGCUUGUAAAACUGGUUGAAGUUCACUCCUAUAUGCUUGAGUCAAAAUUAUUCGGAAGCUAUUGAUGUGCAGAGAGCUAUAAGCUAGACUCAGAAUUAGCAACUUUUAUGGCCAGCAUACUUCGUGAAGAUGAUUGACAAUUUUGUUUAUGGUAUC
Molecule: long non-coding RNA, 1382 nt
Organism: Carya illinoinensis
Lineage: Eukaryota; Viridiplantae; Streptophyta; Magnoliopsida; Fagales; Juglandaceae
Exons: 3
Source: RefSeq, a predicted model, not a curated record